GGUCUUGUUAGGGGUACCAUAUCUUUUCUCAAUUUGGGACCAUAUACUCUGUGCAGUAUCGGAAUACUGCACACUAUCAGCAAUUUGUGGAGACAGAGAGGAGGUCAACCAAGAGAUGACCAUGUUAUUACACCUAUCCCACAGUCUCUAUUGAGCCACAUUAUUGUUAGGACGAGGACAUGAACCGUCAACAAAUCUGAUUUUAUUUUUAGCAUAUAAGGCAACAAUCAUUUUACGUCUCCAGCCCCCAUAACCAGUACCAGAGAAGGGAGUGGGAAAAAGAGACACCUCAGGGACAUCAGAAGAAUAUACAAAGAGGGGACUGGUAGAAUCUAUCGAAGCAGAGACACCAGUAUUCGUAUUGGAAGCCAUAAUCGCACCAGAUAUUCACAGACAAAACCAAAUAUUCACACACAGAACCAGAUAUUCACACAGAAAAUCAGAUACUCACCUACUGAGCCAGAUAAUCACACAGAUUGCAUACAAUAGUCAAGAUAAGGAAAGAGUUACCCUCCUUCUUCGUGACCAGAGAAGAUCGGCCUUCACGCAAACUCAUAUAUACUUCAUUUAACCCCAUAAGGAAUUGAAAAACCUUGUUUUCAUCAUCUUCCUCAAUUAUCCCAUUUUUGGCAGCACACACACAUAUAUGCCCAUGAUUUGUGCACAUUGUGCCCAAUUCAUCCCACAAGCCUUUGAGCUUGUUGAAGU
Molecule: long non-coding RNA, 708 nt
Filed under: Nicotiana benthamiana
Lineage: Eukaryota; Viridiplantae; Streptophyta; Magnoliopsida; Solanales; Solanaceae
Description: long non-coding RNA (NBEN_LNC019782)
Source: RNAcentral